UGCCAGGGCAGGAAAAGGAAAGGAAAAAGGGAAAUGAGCCCAGGAAGCAGAGAAAGCAUAUACAAAGGGGGGUGUCACUGAGCUGGACAAAGCCUCAGAAGAAAACCUUGCUGGUUUCCAAGUUCCCAGAUGAUCUUGGAAAAAGCUGUGUGGAAUGAUGGUGGCUUACAACAGUGGAAGGGUAGAAGGCAGGUAAGAGAAAGUCUUGUGGUCAGCAGGUUGAUGGACAUUUUGGAAAGUCACAUCCAUCUCAGGUGCUGUGUUGGGUCACAGGCAGAGCAAGAGAAAAGGCACACAUAUGUCACACAGCCCAAUUAGGCAGGAACAUCAGACCAGUUCCCUCAUACUGCUCAAAUGCACUUAGCUUACACACACAGCCUAUGGAUGGCUUGUGACAGGUGGGCCCAAUUGUAUUGAAUGAAGUUACUUUGGAUCUUCAAGCAGCAGACUUGAUGGAGUCCAUGCUGAAGUCCGGCUCUCAAUACUCCCUCCCCUCUUCCAGCAGAGAUAAAACAGCAAACAGCACAACUGCAGUAGCAGCCAGGCCUCCCAGAGAGCAACUGGCUGCAGAUGGGGCUGGGGGUGAUGCAGGUGAGGCCAAGUGAAUCUGGGGAGCCCCAUGAACCGGACCAGUACAGCUACUGGUGCAUUAGAAUUGAUGUUCUUCUAACACAUCUAGCUUACCUAAAUGAAGCUGCCCACCACCACCACUCCAG
Molecule: long non-coding RNA, 716 nt
Filed under: Marmota monax (woodchuck)
Lineage: Eukaryota; Metazoa; Chordata; Mammalia; Rodentia; Sciuridae
Source: RNAcentral